This 21-nucleotide microRNA is filed under the name Culex quinquefasciatus (southern house mosquito). Its description in RNAcentral is "cqu-miR-1175-3p". Lineage: Eukaryota; Metazoa; Arthropoda; Insecta; Diptera; Culicidae. The record is from miRBase by way of RNAcentral.
UGAGAUUCUACUUCUCCGACU